AGUGAACGCUGGCGGUAGGCCUAACACAUGCAAGUCGAACGGCAGCACAGUAAGAGCUUGCUCUUACGGGUGGCGAGUGGCGGACGGGUGAGGAAUACAUCGGAAUCUACUUUUUCGUGGGGGAUAACGUAGGGAAACUUACGCUAAUACCGCAUACGACCUACGGGUGAAAGCAGGGGAUCUUCGGACCUUGCGCGAUUGAAUGAGCCGAUGUCGGAUUAGCUAGUUGGCGGGGUAAAGGCCCACCAAGGCGACGAUCCGUAGCUGGUCUGAGAGGAUGAUCGGCCACAAGGGAACUGGGACACGGUCCAGACUCCUACGGGAGGCAGCAGUGGGGAAUAUUGGACAAUGGGCGCAAGCCUGAUCCAGCCAUACCGCGUGGGUGAAGAAGGCCUUCGGGUUGUAAAGCCCUUUUGUUGGGAAAGAAAAGCAGCAGGUUAAUACCCCGCUGUUCGGACGGUACCCAAAGAAUAAGCACCGGCUAACUUCGU
RNAcentral lists this ribosomal RNA (491 nucleotides) under uncultured bacterium. RNAcentral describes it as "partial 16S ribosomal RNA". It matches the Rfam family "Bacterial small subunit ribosomal RNA", at positions 29 to 506 of the family's 1533-position model. The record is from RNAcentral.